Long non-coding RNA from Herpailurus yagouaroundi (jaguarundi), 1571 nucleotides. RefSeq lists it as uncharacterized. Lineage: Eukaryota; Metazoa; Chordata; Mammalia; Carnivora; Felidae. The record is from RefSeq and is a predicted model, not a curated record. The transcript is spliced from 4 exons.
AAUCAUUAUUGAAAAUGACUGUUUUCCAGUUUGUAGCUUCUGAUUACAUUUCUGUAAAAGUGACGUCAUUUAAUUAACUUGAAACGCUCUUCUGCCAGGGGAGCCAGCACAUGAACAGCUGUCUUCACUUUUUCUAUGUGCCCAACAACAAUAGAAUGAAAGUGAUACAGUAAGUUGAUUAAUAAAUAGAAUACAGAGACAUUAAUAAAUUAAUAAUUAAUAAGUAAUUACUAGAAUAAAACUGUAGAGCAAUGUUUAAUUGGUCUAGAUGAAAGUCUUGCUUUCCUGCAUAUUUUCCACAGCUGCGCGUGUCAGGUCAUUGUGUUCCGGCACAGUCUUUGGGAGCUGACACCGACACUUGAGCAGAUGUGCGUCUUCUGGUUUUUGUGGGAUCAGCGAUAGCAUGUGACUCCUCUAGUAGAGGACUGAGAUUUCCCUGGUUUUCCACUGCACCCAAUGGUGACCUGCUGACUUCGGGUAGCUCUCACGUUAAGAAGGCAGAGGCAGCUGCACCAAAUCUCCUCUCAUCAUUAUCCGAGAUGGAUGACAGCUCUUCCCAGCUGCUGGUAUUCUGUCACUUUCUUUGCUGUGGGCUGUCCUGGAAGGUGUGUGAACUUCGAUGGGGCCACUCUCUGAAGCUGAGGCUGACCCUGAAGAGUCUGAGAGAGGCCGUCUGUUCACUGUGCUGCCCACACCUGGUCAGCAAGUUCCACCUUGAAGAAGCACCUCGACAUCAGAUAGUCUGCCAUAUGUCGUGUCUAGACAAGAUGGGAAAAAAUGAGAUCGAUUACCUCCAGGCAUCCUCUGAUCUAACCAGAGUAAGAACUCUGUUCACUACAUAAGUGUCUCGUGUGCUACCAGACGUGUAGAAAGCCGAAAGCACCAAAUGACACCGGUCAUUGCCGUGAGCUGCUUGGAAAGUCAACUCUGAGAUGGAGAUGAGCAUCCAGGAGUUUGUUGGCAAGUGUUCUUGGGACCACCCACUCUGGGAGGGGAGCGAGGGAGGUGGCCUGGGCAGGAGGAGAAGCUGGCCUGUGAGGGGGGCCUCAACACAAGCCAACCCAAGCUCCCGUGGGGAGCCUCGAAGCCGGGCCAGGCCUUUCUACCUGUCCGUAAACAAGUCAUUGAACCUGGGCACCCUGGGAAGAGGACGUGGCCAUGUUGAGAUGCCACUUUUCAUCUGAAGCAAGUCUGAGGAGGGCUGAUGGCUGGGGCUUUCUCCGGAAGCCCUCCUGGAAGCUUCAGGAAUAAUCCUGAUGGGUCUCUGAGGGGUACCUCACAGCAUCCCCACUGGAAGCGGACUGAGCCUGUCCCGGCUAACUUAGGCCACUGCUACUGUUGCCGCUGCUGCUGCCACCCCUGCUGUUACUUAAAGAAUCCUGAACAAAUGCUGAAAAGAGGUCACGCCUGAGACAGCAGCUAUACACGCGGCUGUUGCUGAGCAAAUCAGGAGGCAGCCACCCUGUCUGUAGCAGAGUUCAAGGCAUGAUUUCCAGGAGAAAGGACGACUUAACGUUUACCAGCCUUGAAAGAGAGAGACAGAGCAUGAACAGGGGAGGGGCAGAGAGAGA